RNA transcript from Sphaerodactylus townsendi, 7689 nucleotides. It is a transcript of the gene named DAB2 interacting protein, with no coding region annotated. The record is from RefSeq and is a predicted model, not a curated record. NCBI's taxonomy places the organism in Eukaryota, Metazoa, Chordata, Lepidosauria, Squamata, Sphaerodactylidae. The transcript is spliced from 17 exons.
GGCAGGAAUUGUGGGCUUGUGUUUAUCUUGCCUGCCGAGAAUUUUGGCUCCGAAGUCCCGGCGCAGCCUUCCCGGCUCUUAUUUCUGAAGCAGCACAUGUCUGCGCUGGGAAGGUCCAAGUCUUCCCAUUUUCCCCUCCCACCCCUGUUCACUGUCCUGUUUUUAAAAUUUUGUGUUUUUCCCCCCCUGCGAACUGUGACAGUAGAAGAAUCCGGGGAGGGAAGCGUGUGUAAGUGAAUGGGGGAAAAUGUCGAUAAACAGCAAGAAAAGUUGUGGCAGACCCUCUUACUACUACAGACUCCUCCGGAGGUCCCGGCUUCAGAGGCAGCGCAGCAGAUCCCGGAGUCGCAACAGGCCGCUGAGCAGGGAGUCCCCACCAGAGAGGACUGGGCAGAGAAGGGGGAUGCCCAGCGGGGGGCUGGAGAAGAACCCCAGCAUGGAGCCAGCUGCCCCAACCCCAUUCCGUGUCACAGGGUUCCUGAGCCGCCGACUGAAAGGCUCGAUCAAAAGGACAAAGAGCCAGCCCAAGCUUGACAGAAACAGCAGCUUCCGGCACAUCCUACCUGGCUUCAGAAACGUGGACAAUGAGAGAUCCCAUCUAAUGCCGAGGCUGAAGGAAUCACGCUCCCACGAGUCACUGCUCAGUCCCAGUAGCGCGGUGGAGGCCCUUGAUCUCAGCAUGGAAGAGGAGGUAGUCAUUAAGCCGGUGCACAGCAGCAUCCUGGGGCAAGACUACUGCUUUGAGGUGACAACUGCAUCAGGUAGCAAAUGCUUCUCAUGCCGGUCCGCCGCAGAACGGGACAAGUGGAUGGAGAACCUACGGAGAGCUGUGCAUCCCAACAAGGACAAUAGCAGGCGAGUCGAGAACAUGCUCAAGUUAUGGAUUAUUGAAGCAAAAGAUGUGCCUGCCAAGAAGAAGUACUUAUGCGAACUGUGCUUGGAUGAGGCUCUAUAUGCACGGACAACGUGCAAGUUGAAAACGGACAAUGUCUUUUGGGGGGAGCACUUUGAGUUCAACAACCUCCCAUCGCUUCGGAGCAUCACCAUCCAUUUGUACAAAGAGACGGACAAGAAGAAGAAGAAAGACAAGACCAACUUCAUUGGACUGGUCAGCAUCCCAGCAGCUUCCGUCACAGGGCGGCAGUUUGUCGAGAAGUGGUACCCUGUGGUCACACCCAACCCUAGCAAAGGCAAAUCUGGAGGACCUAUGAUCCGCAUCAAGUCACGCUACCAAAGUAUGAGCAUCCUUCCCAUGGAAAUGUACAAGGAGUUUGCAGAGUACAUCACCAACAACUACCUUGCUCUCUGCUCAGUCCUAGAGCCAGUGUUGAGUGUGAAGAACAAGGAAGAGAUGGCCUCAGCUUUGGUCCACAUACUACAAAGCACUGGAAAGGCCAAGGAUUUCUUGACUGACCUCAUGAUGUCUGAAGUGGACCGCUGUGGUGAAAACGAGCACCUUAUUUUCAGAGAGAACACCCUUGCCACAAAAGCAAUCGAGGAAUACCUCAAGCUGGUGGGGCAGAAGUACUUGCAAGAUGCCUUAGGUGAGUUUAUCAAGGCUCUGUAUGAAUCAGAUGAAAACUGUGAGGUGGACCCCAACAAAUGCUCGUCCUCAGACCUCCCAGAGCAUCAGAGCAAUCUGAAGAUGUGCUGCGAACUGGCAUUUUGCAAGAUCAUCAACUCCUACUGCGUGUUCCCACGAGAGCUGAAGGAGGUGUUUGCCUCCUGGCGGCAGGAGUGCAACAGCCGCGGCCGGCCCGACAUCAGCGAGAGGCUAAUCAGCGCGUCCUUGUUCCUCCGCUUCCUCUGCCCGGCGAUCAUGUCCCCGUCUCUCUUCAACCUGCUGCAGGAAUAUCCCGACGAUCGCACUGCCCGCACUUUGACCCUCAUUGCCAAGGUCACGCAGAACCUGGCCAACUUUGCCAAGUUCGGCAGCAAAGAAGAAUACAUGUCAUUCAUGAAUCAGUUCUUGGAACAUGAAUGGACGAACAUGCAGCGAUUUCUGUUGGAGAUCUCUAAUCCCGAGACGCUUUCCAACACGGCGGGCUUUGAAGGGUACAUUGACCUGGGCCGGGAGCUGUCCACUUUGCAUUCUCUGCUCUGGGAGGUCAUAUCACAGCUGGAUCAGAACACAGCAGCCAAACUUGGACCGCUGCCACGCAUUCUGAGGGACGUCAACACGGCUCUCAGCAACCCGUCCUGCGUGCAAGUCUCAGUCAGCACAGAUCAUGCCAUGUCAACGCCGAACGCCGGCAACAGCAUCUCGAUGGGGCUGCAGAAGAUGGUGAUUGAAAAUGAUUUAUCUGGUCUGAUAGAUUUCACACGGUUACCGUCUCCAACCCCUGAAAACAAGGACUUGUUUUUUGUCACAAGGUCUGCGGGGGCCCAGCCCUCGCCUGCCCGGAGCUCCAGCUAUUCAGAGGCCAAUGAGCCCGAUGUGCAGAUGCCCAACGGCAGCAAGAGCCUCUCCAUGGUGGACUUGCAAGACAAUCGAAUUUUGGACAGUGGGGCCACCAUACCAGGGACGGCCGACUCUCUGAAUGACAGUCAGUCUUCCAUCGGGCAGGUCCCGGGUGUCUGGAGCACACGAACUCAGCAGAACAAUGUGUCCGGCAUGGUCACCGUACGUAGGGUGGGCCAGACCGCAAUGACGCCCAAUGCUGAGAGCGCCCCAGGCAGGCCCCAGCUCUUGGCUCCCCUCUCCUUCCAGAACCCAGUUUACCAGAUGGCGGCGGGGCUGCCACUCUCUCCCCGGGGCCUGGCAGACUCUGGGUCUGAGUGUCACAGCUCGCUCAGUUCUCACAGCAACAGCGAGGACUUGGCAGCUAACAAGCACGGCUUCACCAACCCUGCCGCCACCGAGGACUUCAACCGGCGAGCAGGGGAAUUGGCCCGCCGGCAGCUCUCACUAACGGACAAAGCCGGGCAGCCAACAAUGCCCCGGCAGAACAGCGGCGGCCCCCAGAGGCGAAUAGACCAGCCGCCGCCGCCGCCUCCUCCGCCUCCCCCCAUUACUCGGGGCCGGACGCCACCCUCCUUACUGAACACCAUGCAGUACCCAAGGCCCUCCAGCGGGGGCAUGCUCUCCUCCUCACCGGAUUGGCCGGGCAGUGGAGCACGGCUCCGGCAGCAGUCCUCCUCCUCCAAGGGCGACAGCCCAGAGAUGAAGCAGCGCACUAUGCACAAGCAGGCCCCUUCUCCUGUGAACCCCAAUGCCCUGGACCGCACGGCCGCUUGGCUGUUGAAUAUGAACGUGCAGCUCUUGGAAGACGAGAGCAGCGACCCCGAGCCCAAGCGCAGGGAUAAGGGCCGAACUAAAGACGAGCUCAGCCAAGGGGAAAAGUAUCAGCAGGACGUGGUGGUCUUGCAAGACAAGCUGCGCAUCUCCAACAAGAAGCUAGAGGAAUAUGAAGCUCGCUUCAAGUGCCAGGAGGAGACCACCCAGAAGCUGAUGCUGGAAUAUCAAGCAAGGCUGGAGGAGAGUGAGGAGAGGCUGCGCCGGCAGCAGGAGGACAAGGAGAUCCAGAUGAAGGGAAUCAUCAGCAGGCUGAUGUCAGUGGAGGAGGAGUUGAAGAAAGACCAUGCAGAAAUGCAGGCGGCUGUGGACUCCAAGCAGAAGAUCAUAGAUGCACAGGAGAAACGCAUAGCCUCACUGGACGCAGCCAAUGCCCGGCUAAUGAGCGCCCUCACGCAGCUGAAAGAGAGGUACAGCAUGCAGACACGUAACGGGAUCUCCCCCACAAACCCAACUAAAUUGCAGAUUACAGAGAACGGCGAAUUCCGAAACAGCAGCAAUUGCUAACCCACAGGAGUGGCUGCUGCAGGAGAAAGAGAGAGAGAGAGUCUGGCCCGAGAGAGCACGCAGCAGCAGCAGCCGCCGCAGGCGGAGGGUAUGCAUUAGGAAAAAAAAUUACCCAAAACCAAAGCAGGCCACUUUCUGGAGUACUGUCCUCUUUUAAGUGGGAGUGGGUGCUGCGUGGGAAGUUUACCACCCCGAAGGCCCGAAAGGGGAUAACCGACAAGAACAGCAUCCUCCGAAAAGUCUCUCCCCUUAUCAGAGUCGCUGGGCAGCUGUAAGCCAGGAUUAGCCGCUCCUAACUGCUUGCUCAUGGCUUAGUGGAAAGGGUCACCUUCACUCACGGCAGGGCUUUGCGCUACUAACCUCCAACCGCCUCGUAGCUUGGGGUUUGCUUUCAGUCAGUCCUGAUGAGCCCCCUCUCCUCAGUGUCUUGUCUGUUACAAGACCAGGGAAGGACGACGUGUAGGGGAACUGACCAUUCCACCCUGUAAGAGAACACAGUUGGUACUUUGGUGUGUAGAAUCUGAAAGGAACAGGACACUCUUGAAAUCUGUGUGGCUUCAGAAAAGUUUCUCUAAGUUGCCUGGUGUUAAGCAUGGGCCAGCACCAGUGUGCAGGCCAGUGCACACUCUGCACCCAGACCCACAAAUGUGGACUGUGACAAGAAAGAACAUUUUUCCAAGGAGCUGUUGUCUCAAUUAAAAAAACCUGAAGCCCUCAAAUCUGCACUGCUAUCCCACCCAGGACCGAAUGUUCUCCUAUUCUCAGACAAUCAUUUUAUUUUGCUGCACCCAAAUCUCUCCAAAAUACAAAAAGAACUGACAUUUAAAAAUGGGCACCAGUGAUUGUCAACGUUAAGAGUUUCCCUUCCUAACGCCACCUGCCUAGCUCCCCAAAUACACCAGCUCAUCUGUAGGAUGGAGUAUUUUAAAUGCACAAUGCCGUGGAAGAUUGUAUCAAACAGACCGGGUAGUGGGCACAGCUCAGGCCCUCAAGCCGAAAGCCCAGCCACCUAGGGCCCUGCACAGCGCUCCAAGUUAUUUGGUACAGAAUUUUAAUUACGCAGACAGUCACCGUGGCCAGAAGCCCACUCCAAGGAUCUCAGGCCAAAAGACUGCAUAAAUUCACCAAGCGGUUGCUCUUUGUCCAAGGCUGGAUAUGUGCCCUUCAGCAGCUAUUUCUAAAAAUGUCAGGGAGCGGGUUCUGGGAGGAGCAUCCUUUUCAGGGGGGCUCCUCUUGCAUGGCGAGACUUCGCUUGUAGCCACUGCUGUCAGCCGAGGUCAUGUGAGUUUAUUAUGGUGGGUGAGAUGGUGUUGCGGAGAAGAUCCGGCUGUGCCCGGGUUUUGGCUCCCCUCUCUCUAACUGCACUUGCAAGCUGAGUGACCCAACGCAGCCCACCAUUUAAGCACUUGGUAGAUGUCCACAGAUGUCCCAUACUCCUCUGACUGCCUCCCUGUUCUUUGCUGCAAUGUUUGGUGUCACUUGGGCUGUGUGGGGAAGAGUUUGCCAAAGCCAGACGAGCAGCUUGACCUCAGCUGCCCCCACCGCCAGACAGCGUGGACCUUCAACAGAGUCACAUCCAUUGACAGUUUGCCAUGGAUCCACCCCCGGUUCAUGGCCAGAGGUCUUUAAAAACUGAUCCAAGUUCCAUCCAAUGUCUUAGGGCUUUAAAGGUCUGAAAGGUUUUUGUUUUGUUUUUCUAAAACCUGCUGCAAUUGGGGGAGAGAGAUCCCCUUGUUUUGUUAUUUGUACAGCUGUAUGUGGGUGAGUGUGGCGGAGUGCUGUUAACCGCCCGUCCCGGACGUGGUCCUGUUGGCCCAAGAUAGAUGGUCCUGUAGCCAAUAAUCUGGUUCUUUCUCCGUUCUUGUGCUUUCUGCCGUAAGAACUUGUUAUACAAUAUAAGGGAAAAAAAGUGUAAUUAAAAAAAAUACACAGAUCUUUCUGAAUAGAAGUCGUACAGAUUUUCUUUGGUGGGGAAAAAUGCUCCCAAGUGUAUGAUUAUAACGUGCAAGUUUUGCCCAAUUGAUACAGUACAACAUGAACUCAGUUUUGUAGCUCUCUGCUGUUUUGGGCAGGAUGUGUUACUAGCAGGCGCAGGGGGACGGGGUAGAUCUACGAAAAUACAAAUCCAGACCAAAGUUCAAAGAUGCACUGUGGCUGUGGGGGAGAGGGAGAGAGACCAGUUCCUGGGUAUGUCACCUCUGAUUCACUUUGGAAUCCAAGAAAUCCCAAGAAGUACUUAAGAGUCCUGGUUCCACUACAGCCUUUUCUCCCACAUCUGAGAUGGCAGCAUUCAUGCCAGGAAGGCACAGCAGAGCCUUUGGAAGGCUGAUAGUGGCCCAGUCCUGUGUAUGGAAUGAAUGUGAGCUGCACGUGUGUCCCAGGUAUUGUACAGGGAAGGUGAUGAUCAAAACACUUUUGCCCACUCCAGCUUAGGAGACUUGUGCGUGCAUCACUUGUUGAAUCAGGAACGGCUGGCGGUACUCAGACGUGCAUCAGAGUGUAGCUGUGUGAGAUGAAUGUUGACAUCCUGGAAUAGCUGGAUGUGCCUAAAUAGUUUUUUAAGCACCACAAGAGUUGACUGAGAUGCUGCAGUGGACCAGGAUGGAUGGAGAGACCAAAAAUGCUGGUGCAUAAUCGAUCCAAAAAGUAGGUAAUGAAUAUCAAGACUGACUUUUUUUAACAGGGAUGCAGCAGAGACAUUCUGAUCCAAAGGUGGGUGCUCUGAUGCAUACUUCCUUGUUCAUACCUGUGUGACCCAAUUCUUUGCAACAGAUGGGCAAUCUCUCCUAUCCACUGGAAUAAUGGGAAGACCCCAAGAACACAAGGAUGGGCGACUGGUUCCAGCACUUCCGGUUGUGGAGGCAGCAGGUCUCCUUCUGUUUAGAUGUAAAGCUGUGCAGCUGGUCUUUUCUGUCAUUUGCCAAGAUGUUCCAACAACUGGCUCGUGCUAAAAUUCAGAUUGGAGAAAGAAGUGCUACAGGUUCCGGGACAGCAAGCAUCAAAAAGUUAGCAGGCCUCACAUUCCCCUAAAAAAUGUCUCCUCCCUGCCUUUAAAAAAACAACAAUGUGAAUUUUUGAAGAGUAAAACUCAACACCUGUGAGCAGGGUGUAGACGGAAGUGUGAAGGUUGGUGUUUCCUGUCCCACAAACUCGCGCAUCUUCACUGAUGUUGGGGUGCCAUUAAAGGUGUGUCCUGCUCCUUGAAUAACCUCCCUAGAUUCUUUAUACCAAUAGGCACUUGGGAGGCCACGCACAUUGGUCUAUUCUAUUCAGUACAUAAGUGCUUUCAGACUGGGGAGGGGGCAUGUCAAAUAAGUGGGGGGGCAGGAGUCCUUGGCAAAGAACUAUAAGGAAAAAUAGGCAGCUCCAUAAGCCACAGCAAGUGAAACUUCUAGCUAAGAUGAAUGCAGCCUGUUCUUGCUUCAGAAGGACAAUUUCCAGUGUCACCUAAACAGACUCACCAAGGCCAAGAGAAGCUGUAAAUGUUCCAUGGUUAGGUGUUGUGCCUCCAUGCAAGACCCCCUACGUCUCCCUAUCUGAUUUGUCCCCCUUGGCUGAGUCACUGUGUCUUAAGAUAUCCCCCCCCCCCCCCCAGUAUAUUUGCCUAAACCAAUAUUUGUUCCUGGUGAUGCCGUUACAAAAUGUUUUAUACUCUCUUAUAAAGGAAACGAAGCAAAAAAAAACUUUUGUAAGUUUGUUUUAAGAAAAUUCCGAAGCCGAGCAGGAUCACCCCGCCACCAAGUCUCCUCCAGUCCGUUUUGAAAGAAGAAAAUGUAAUAAUGUACAGAGAAAGUCGUUGGUGUCAAGAGGGGGGAAAUGAUGUGGCUGUGCAAUUUAUGUACAUUUGCAAUUAGAAAAAUGAUUAAAGAUUUAUUUAGCUAUUUUAA